UGUUUUUUAUAAAAUGGACUUAAAAACAGCAGAAGAAGUUGUAUCAAUCUACGAAUUGAUCGAUC
RNAcentral lists this transfer RNA (65 nucleotides) under Bigelowiella natans. The record is from RNAcentral. Lineage: Eukaryota; Cercozoa; Chlorarachniophyceae.